This 253-nucleotide ribosomal RNA is filed under the name uncultured bacterium. RNAcentral describes it as "partial 16S ribosomal RNA". It matches the Rfam family "Bacterial small subunit ribosomal RNA", at positions 524 to 776 of the family's 1533-position model. The record is from RNAcentral.
UACAGAGGGUGCAAGCGUUGUUCGGAAUUACUGGGCGUAAAGCGCGUGUAGGCUGCAGCGUAAGUCAGAUGUGAAAGCCCUCGGCUCAACUGAGGAAGUGCAUCCGAAACUGGCAGGCUAGAGUAUGUAAGAGGGUCGCGGAAUUCCCGGUGUAGAGGUGAAAUUCGUAGAUAUCGGGAGGAACACCGGUGGCGAAGGCGGCGACCUGGGACAAUACUGACGCUGAGGUGCGAAAGCGUGGGGAGCAAACAGG